Long non-coding RNA from Solanum dulcamara, 1362 nucleotides. RefSeq lists it as uncharacterized. NCBI's taxonomy places the organism in Eukaryota, Viridiplantae, Streptophyta, Magnoliopsida, Solanales, Solanaceae. The transcript is spliced from 2 exons. The record is from RefSeq and is a predicted model, not a curated record.
UAUCAAAUAUACUCCCUCAACCCUCCAAUAAUGCAACAUAUACAACAAAAGCCAAUUCCCAAACCCACAAUACAAUAGCAAAACAACCGACACCAUACACAUACCAACGUUCAAUUCCCAUACAAUCCAGCAACAAACCCAACAUACACACAACCUAUACUCUUAGCCCAUACCCACAAAAAACCUUAGUAACAUCGCACUACAGAACAUAUACCCACCGCGUACACCUAUACGUAUACCAGUAUAACAUAUGUGUCAUCUUCCUCACCCAAAAGGUAGUACAUCUAGCUAUUCCAAUCUAAAAUUCAUUCUUGGAUCAUGAGAUUGAGCCACAUCUAACUUCGAUUUGAUCCUUGCCAUCCACCUCACUUGAAAAUCAUCCAAAUCCGCUGAGAAUUUAAAUUUUGGGAGGAUGAUAUGGCAUAUUAUGUUUUCAUUUUUGGAGUUUUGAAUUUCAAAUUUUAUCCUCAUCCAAAAACCCCAUCCAAUUUCCCCUCAUUUUGAAAGACCUAAAUUUUCUUCCUUCUAUAAACGACCUACUUUCUAGUCAUUAUAGAGGUUAUGAAAUGGAGGUCGAAUUCUAGGUUACGAAAUUAUAGAUUGAUUUUUGAGAUCUAUGAAUUUUACCCUAAAAUACAGAAACAUCUCAAACCAUAAAAGAAUUUUGGUCAAGAAUGAGGGGUUCCUAUUUGAAAGGCUUAAAGGUUGAAGUUUCAGUUGGUUUUAUCGAGAUUUCUCCAGAAAGAUUCUAAUUGUUCUGUGGAAAUCAUUUCCUGAACGUCGUCUCAAUUUCGCUGCUUCAAAGAAGUUGAUUCCGAUGCACUCUUUCAUCUCAUUACAUUUUAGGAUGGGCCACGGAGGACCAAUUGUUACAUUCCUCGAGUCAGCCUCGUCAAAUUGGAUCAUCUAGAGAAAGGAAAGAUACGGUGAAGAGGAAGCUACAAAGUUUUGAAAGAAAAGGAACUGAUAUACAGCUAAUAUACGUUUUUAUGCAGCUUGGUAUAUAGUCACUGUAUACACACUGAUACCGGGAUGAAACUAGGACAAAAUCCCGAACUUGCAGUAGCAGUAGUCAAAGACGAUUAAAGUAACAGUUUUCAGAGGUAAAUUUGGAAUAAGCAGGCCCAAUCGAUGCAUCUUUUCGUUAGAAUUUAGGACAGGAUUUUGGGACUGCUGAAGCCCUACCCCACAGCUUUGAAUUUGAGCAAAGCUCAAAUUUUUGUUUUCUUUAUUAUGAUGACUAGGGGUGUACAUGAACCGGGUUGGUUCAGAUUUUUUACAAAUCAAAUCAAAUUAUUUGUAUCGGGUUAUUAAAUCUAUAAAUCAAAUCAAACCAAUAAAAGUCGGGUUUUUUUAUAUCAA